CCCGCACAAGCAGCGGAGCGUGUGGUUUAAUUCGAUGCUACACGAAGAACUUACCAGGUUUGACAUACAAGUAGUAGGAAAGGAAACUGGACCGACCCUUCGGGAGCUUGUACAGGUGCUGCAUGGCUGUCGUCAGCUCGUGUCGUGAGAUGUUCGGUUAAGUCCGCUAACGAGCGCAACCCUCGCUGUGUGUUACAAGUGUCACACGGAACUGCCGGUCAUAAACCGGAGGAAGGUGGGGAUGACGUCAAAUCAGCACGGCCCUUAUGUCCAGGGCUACACACGUGUUACAAUGGCCAGUACAAAGGGCAGCUACCGGGUGACCGGAUGCUAAUCUCUAAAGCUGGUCUCAGUUCGGAUCGAAGUCUGCAACCCGACUUCGUGAAGCUGGAUUCGCUAGUAAUCGCGCAUCAGCCAUGGCGCGGUGAAUACGUUCCCGGGCCUU
Molecule: ribosomal RNA, 445 nt
Filed under: uncultured Anaerolineaceae bacterium
Lineage: Bacteria; Bacillati; Chloroflexota; Anaerolineae; Anaerolineales; Anaerolineaceae
Description: bacterial SSU rRNA
Rfam family: Bacterial small subunit ribosomal RNA
Source: RNAcentral